UACGGAGGGGGCUAGCGUUGUUCGGAAUUACUGGGCGUAAAGCGCGCGUAGGCGGUGAUCUUUGUCAGAGGUGAAAUCCCGAGGCUCAACUUCGGAAUUGCCUUUGAAACGGGAUCGCUUGAGUCCGAGAGAGGAUGGCGGAAUUCCUAGUGUAGAGGUGAAAUUCGUAGAUAUUGGGAGGAACACCAGUGGCGAAGGCGACCACCUGGACGACAACUGACGCUGAGGCGCGAGAGCGUGGGGAGCAAACAGG
RNAcentral lists this ribosomal RNA (253 nucleotides) under uncultured bacterium. RNAcentral's name for it is "partial 16S ribosomal RNA". It matches the Rfam family "Bacterial small subunit ribosomal RNA", at positions 524 to 776 of the family's 1533-position model. The record is from RNAcentral.